AUUUGAUUCCCUCUCACCACAACAUUACUCAAAGCAAGGCAAUCAGUAACAAGAUGCAACAUCACGUCAUGUUUCAUUUUAAAAACAUCAGAACAUUUUUGUGGAGAUAAUUACACAUACAAGAUGGCACCUCGAAGUGCUCAAGUACAUUCAGUCGGAUCUCUCUUCUCUUUUCACACUGGCAUCUGCAAAAGUGCAUGCUUUUCCAAAUGCAAUAAUCGACUGAAUGACCUUAUUAGCUUAACUUGUAUCAUAAGAUUGUAAUGAAGAACAGAGUUUCUGCAGUGAUGUUCUCUGUCUUUUUGUUGCUACUACCCUUGUGACCCAUUACUGUUUGAGCAAUGUGUACAUGUACUGUACUUAAUGUGUGCUCUGCGUCCGGCCAACUGAUCAGCAGUUAGAGAAGUACAGGCCGUCUUUUAUGUUGAAGUUGAUGUAAAUAUAGAGCAUGGUGGGAAACAGACAAACAGGACCAAAGUUAUAGUAAGAGCUAACCAUUAUACCUACCUCAGAACCGUAUUAGAAUUUACUCACUUUUUUCUCCCCAUUUAAUCUCUUACCGAAGUGGAUUAUAUAGUAAAUUAAUCUCAACUCUUACAUAUUUCCUCCAGUAGAGUUCUGUGUUAGUUAUUGUUGUUGGUGCUAGAAGGCUGUUUUCUCUAAUAGUCUGUUUAUCCUGUUCCUUUAACUGACCUUGUGCCUACUGUAUGCCAUAUUGUAAACCAAUUUCAGACUGGCCUGUUUUUAUUAUAUGCCAGCAAUAAACUUAUUUUAAUAGUU
This is a long non-coding RNA of Sander lucioperca (pikeperch), 780 nucleotides long. RefSeq lists it as uncharacterized. The record is from RefSeq and is a predicted model, not a curated record. The transcript has 2 exons. NCBI's taxonomy places the organism in Eukaryota, Metazoa, Chordata, Actinopteri, Perciformes, Percidae.